UACGGAGGGUGCGAGCGUUGUCCGGAAUCACUGGGCGUAAAGGGUGCGUAGGCGGCCGCGCAAGUCUGGCGUGAAAGCCCCGGGCUCAGCCCGGGAAGGGCGCUCGAAACGGCGCGGCUCGAGUGCCGGAGGGGAGAGUGGAAUUCCUGGUGUAGCGGUGAAAUGCGUAGAUAUCAGGAGGAAUACCGGUGGCGAAAGCGACUCUCUGGACGGCAACUGACGCUGAGGCACGAAAGCGUGGGGAGCAAACAGG
This 253-nucleotide ribosomal RNA is filed under the name uncultured bacterium. Its description in RNAcentral is "partial 16S ribosomal RNA". It matches the Rfam family "Bacterial small subunit ribosomal RNA", at positions 524 to 776 of the family's 1533-position model. The record is from RNAcentral.